This 1908-nucleotide ribosomal RNA is filed under the name Gammaproteobacteria bacterium. RNAcentral's name for it is "partial 23S ribosomal RNA". It matches the Rfam family "Bacterial large subunit ribosomal RNA", at positions 1061 to 2925 of the family's 2925-position model. Lineage: Bacteria; Pseudomonadati; Pseudomonadota; Gammaproteobacteria. The record is from RNAcentral.
AAGUGGGAAACGAUGUGGGAAGGCCCAGACAGCCAGGAGGUUGGCUUAGAAGCAGCCACCCUUUAAAGAAAGCGUAAUAGCUCACUGGUCGAGUCGGCCCGCGCGGAAGAUGUACCGGGGCUCAAGCUGUGUACCGAAGCUGCGGAUUUACCUUUUAGGUAAGUGGUAGGGGAGCGUUCCGUAGGCCUGCGAAGGUGUGUUGAGAGGCAUGCUGGAGGUAUCGGAAGUGCGAAUGCUGACAUGAGUAACGAUAAAGGGGGUGAAAAACCCCCUCGCCGAAAGCCCAAGGUUUCCUGCGCAACGCUAAUCGGCGCAGGGUUAGUCGGCACCUAAGGCGAGGCCGAAAGGCGUAGUCGAUGGAAAACCGGUUAAUAUUCCGGUACCUGUUGUGACUGCGAUGGGGUGACGGAGAAGGCUAGGCCAGCCGGGUGACGGAAGUCCCGGUUCAAGCGUGUAGGGGGUGGACUUAGGCAAAUCCGGGUCCACGUUAACCCUGAGGCGUGAUGACGAGCCCUUUUUAGGGCGAAGUGGUUGAUGCCCGGCUUCCAAGAAAACCCUCUAAGCAUCAGGUCACAAGAGGCCGUACUGCAAACCGACACUGGUGGGCGGGGCGAGAAGCCCAAGGCGCUUGAGAGAACUCGGGUGAAGGAACUAGGCAAAAUGGCACCGUAACUUCGGGAGAAGGUGCGCCCCUGUGUAGGUGAAGGGCCUUGCGCCUGGAGCCGAAGGGGGUUGCAGUGACCAGGGGGCUGCGACUGUUUACCAAAAACACAGCACUCUGCAAACGCGCAAGCGGACGUAUAGGGUGUGACGCCUGCCCGGUGCCGGAAGGUUAAGGGAUCCGGUUAUCCUUUGGGAGAAGCCGGUGAACGAAGCCCCGGUAAACGGCGGCCGUAACUAUAACGGUCCUAAGGUAGCGAAAUUCCUUGUCGGGUAAGUUCCGACCUGCACGAAUGGCGUAACGAUGGCCCCACUGUCUCCACCCGAGACUCAGUGAAGUUGAAAUCGCUGUGAAGAUGCAGUGUACCCGCAGCAAGACGGAAAGACCCCGUGAACCUUUACUACAGCUUUACGCUGGAUGCUGGGCUUGCUUGUGUAGGAUAGGUGGGAGGCUGAGAAGCCGUGGCGCCAGCUGCGGUGGAGCCGACCUUGAAAUACCACCCUGGCAAGUCUGGUGUUCUAACCCAGGGGAGUGAAUCCUCCUCGGGGACAGCGUAUGGUGGGUAGUUUGACUGGGGCGGUCUCCUCCUAAAGAGUAACGGAGGAGCACGAAGGUACCCUCAGCCUGGUCGGAAAUCAGGCGGUGAGUGCAAGGGCACAAGGGUGCUUGACUGCGAGACCGACGGGUCGAGCAGGUGCGAAAGCAGGUCCUAGUGAUCCGGUGGUUCUUCGUGGAAGGGCCAUCGCUCAACGGAUAAAAGGUACUCCGGGGAUAACAGGCUGAUACCACCCAAGAGUUCAUAUCGACGGUGGUGUUUGGCACCUCGAUGUCGGCUCAUCUCAUCCUGGGGCUGAAGCCGGUCCCAAGGGUAUGGCUGUUCGCCAUUUAAAGAGGUACGCGAGCUGGGUUCAGAACGUCGUGAGACAGUUCGGUCCCUAUCUGCUGUGGGCGUUGGAGACUUGAGGGGAGCUGCUCCUAGUACGAGAGGACCGGAGUGGACGUACCUCUGGUGUUCCGGUUGUCACGCCAGUGGCACUGCCGGGUAGCUAUGUACGGACGGGAUAACCGCUGAAAGCAUCUAAGCGGGAAGCCUCCCCCGAGAUGAGGUCUCCCAGGAUCCUGCGAGAUCCCUGAAGGGCCGUUCGAGACGAGGACGUUGAUAGGCGGGGUGUGGAAGCGCGGCGACGUGUGAAGCUAACCCGUACUAAUUGCCCGUGAGGCUUGACCCUAUAACGCCAAAGGGGUUU